UCCCUUAGAUGUUCUGGGCGGCCCGCGCACUACAAUGGCGCUUUCAGCGAGUUCCUAUGUUGAAUUUUCCUGGGUAUUCUUGGAAGCGGCGUCUUGACUUGGGAUAGAUCCUUGUAAUUGUUGGUUUUGAACGAGGAAUUCCUUGUAAUCGCGGUUGAUCAGCUCGCGUUGAAUACGUCCCUGCCCUUUGUACACACCGCCCGUCGCUCCUACCGAUGAAUCGUCCGGUGAAGUUCACAGAGUGGCGGUUCGUGGAGUUGCUCGCGAAGUGAAAUGGACCUCACGAUUUAGAGGAAGGAGAAGUCGUAACA
RNAcentral lists this ribosomal RNA (311 nucleotides) under uncultured eukaryote. Its description in RNAcentral is "partial 18S ribosomal RNA". It matches the Rfam family "Eukaryotic small subunit ribosomal RNA", at positions 1469 to 1796 of the family's 1831-position model. The record is from RNAcentral.